CGGUUGAUCCUGCCGGAGGCCACUGCUAUUGGGAUCCGAGUAAGCCAUGCGAGUCGUGAGGGUGCGCCCUCGGCUGAGUGCUCAGUAACACGCAGAUAAUCUACCCUUAGGCGGAGGAUAAUCUCGGGAAACUGAGAAUAAUACUCCAUAAAACUAAGAUGCUGGAAUGCACUUAGUUUGAAAGCUUCGGCGCCUAAGGAUGAGUCUGCGGACUAUCAGGUAGUAGUCAGGGUAAAGACCUGACUAGCCUACGACGGAUACGGGUUGUGAGAGCAAUAACCCGGAGACGAUAUCUGAGACACGAUAUCGGGCCCUACGGGGCGCAGCAGGCGCGAAACCUUCACAAUGUGCGAAAGCACGAUGAGGGGAUCCCAAGUGCUGGCUCGUAAGAGUCAGCUGUUUUUCUGUCUAAAAAACAGAGAAAGUAGGAGCUGGGUAAGACGGGUGCCAGCCGCCGCGGUAAUACCUGCAGCUCAAGUGGUGGCCACUAUUAUUGGGCCUAAAACGUCCGUAGCCGGUUUAGUAAAUGCCUGGGUAAAUUGUGUAGCUUAACUAUACGAAUUCCGGGUAGACUGCUAAACUUGGGACCGGGAGAGGUUAGAGGUACUCCUAGGGUAGAGGUGAAAUUCCGUAAUCCUAGGGGGACCACCAGUGGCGAAGGCGUCUAACCAGAACGGGUCCGACGGUGAGGGACGAAGCCCUGGGGCGCAAACCGGAUUAGAUACCCGGGUAGUCCAGGGUGUAAACGCUGCUCGCUUGAUGUUAGUUGGGCUCCGAGCCCAACUAGUGUCGGAGAGAAGUUGUUAAGCGAGCUGCCUGGGAAGUACGGUCGCAAGACUGAAACUUAAAGGAAUUGGCGGGGGAGCAC
Molecule: ribosomal RNA, 868 nt
Filed under: uncultured archaeon
Lineage: Archaea
Description: bacterial SSU rRNA
Rfam family: Archaeal small subunit ribosomal RNA
Source: RNAcentral